RNAcentral lists this ribosomal RNA (497 nucleotides) under uncultured bacterium. RNAcentral's name for it is "partial 16S ribosomal RNA". It matches the Rfam family "Bacterial small subunit ribosomal RNA", at positions 28 to 507 of the family's 1533-position model. The record is from RNAcentral.
GAUGAACGCUGGCGGCGUGCCUAAUACAUGCAAGUCGAGCGAACGGACGAGAAGCUUGCUUCUCUGAUGUUAGCGGCGGACGGGUGAGUAACACGUGGAUAACCUACCUAUAAGACUGGGAUAACUUCGGGACACCGUAGCUAAUACCGGAUAAUAGUUUGAACCGCAUGGUUCAAAAGUGAAAGACGGUCUUGCUGUCACUUAUAGAUGGAUCCGCGCUGCAUUAGCUAGUUGGUAAGGUAACGGCUUACCAAGGCAACGAUGCAUAGCCGACCUGAGAGGGUGAUCAGCCACACUGGAACUGAGCCACGGUCCAGACUCCUACGGGAGGCAGCAGUAGGGAAUCUUCCGCAAUGGGCGAAAGCCUGACGGAGCAACGCCGCGUGAGUGAUGAAGGUCUUCGGCUCGUAAAACUCUGUUAUUAGGGAAGAACAUAUGUGUAAGUAACUGUGCACAUCUUGACGGUACCUAAUCAGAAAGCCACGGCUAACUACGUG